GGGUCUAUGAUGACAAACCUACGUCAUCAAUAGAGGUGAUGACAUAAAUAUUAUGCUCUGGUUCCAGCUGCUGAGGCCU
Non-coding RNA from Mesocricetus auratus (golden hamster), 79 nucleotides. Lineage: Eukaryota; Metazoa; Chordata; Mammalia; Rodentia; Cricetidae. The record is from Rfam.